GCCAGCCUCAUAGCGCUGCUCACUUGCUUAACUGGGCAAAAUACCUGCUGUGGCAGCCCUGUGCCUGGACUGCCUCCGGGAGAAAGUUUCUUGGGAAUGGUGUGACUCAUUGCACAGCCAGAGGUUAUAAUGAAGUAUCCCACUCAUCCUUUAGCUCACCCUUUGUUCAAGACAAUGCAGAUUGCAGAAGGUUUCUGAGGAGGAGUACCUGGGAUAAGUUGCUGGGAAGAAGGAAGAAGGAGCACAGUUCUAUUGGAAAGAAUGUCUUGAUGCUGAUUAUUAAAAUGACGUGGAAGUCAUGGGCUGAAUUAAAUAUUUUUCCGUGGUGGAAAAUUGAUGGGAAAGCUUCCUGGUAUCAACAGCUCAUGUGAAACAGAGGAAGAGAUCCUUUUAUCACAGAAGAAGAGUGUCAAAAUCCAGAGCUAUUCUGAAUCAAUUUGCUCUUUUAAUUGUCUUGUGCAGACGUCUGUCUCUGUAGCAGAAAUGCUGAGUUCGUGCUACAUGAAA
Passer montanus (Eurasian tree sparrow) is the source of this 507-nucleotide long non-coding RNA. RefSeq lists it as uncharacterized. The transcript is spliced from 3 exons. Lineage: Eukaryota; Metazoa; Chordata; Aves; Passeriformes; Passeridae. The record is from RefSeq and is a predicted model, not a curated record.